Stomoxys calcitrans (stable fly) is the source of this 1027-nucleotide RNA transcript. It is a transcript of the gene named guanine nucleotide exchange factor MSS4 homolog, with no coding region annotated. The record is from RefSeq and is a predicted model, not a curated record. The transcript is spliced from 4 exons. Lineage: Eukaryota; Metazoa; Arthropoda; Insecta; Diptera; Muscidae.
AGAAGUUGUUCACAACUUGCAUUGUUACUAUUUACAAUUAAAAAGUAUAUAUUUUAUGCCACCAUGUCGGAUUCUUGUUUAAAGGACGAAGUGUUAAAUAAUAAAAACAAGCAAGAUGUUCACUGCCAAUUUUGCCAUUCGCUGGUACUAAAAGCACAACAAGGGAUCUAUGAGGUGAAACAGUUUGACCUGCCAUUGAUUCAUCAGAAAAAUACCAAAGACAUUAACACAAUUGAAACAGAAUCCCUGGAAGAUUUUUGGGUCAUCGACGAUAUGUUUACCUUUGAAAACAUUGGCUUUUCGAAUACAGUGGAUAAACGAAAGUUUCUCAUCUGUGCAGAUUGUGAGAUGGGACCGGUUGGUUAUCACGAUAUUGAGACAAAAAAGUGUUUUGUUGCCUUAAAAAGGGUGCAUCAUGGCAAUGAAAAACCCCAGUGAUUUAACCAGAGGGAACAUCUUAAGGCUCAAGACAUUCGCAUACGAAUUAUGAAGAGAACAAAUUGGAUGAAUGGUCAAAAUUAGAGUUACAUAUAUCUAAGCAAAGUACGAUUCUGUAUGGACUGCACUUAUUAUAGUUCUACAAUAACUUUAUGUGCGAGGCCUAAAAAGUCAAAUUGAAAAAUAUGUGUACGAAACAUAUCUAGAUAAGGACUAGUUACAGACAUAACGUCAUAGCCAAUUUUUAAUGAGAACAGGUGAGGCGUACCUUUUAGAGUGCCAAGAAUUCAAACCGAAAGCCAAGUUUAUAUGUUUUAAAAGAUGAUGAUGUCACCAAAAAACGAAUAGGCUGCUCAGUAAAAUCAGACACCAUCGCCGCUUGUAGUGACGUCAUUAUCCCAGAGGGCACACAAAAUGUUGUCUGUAAAAUAUGUACGGAGCCAAAAUGCAACUCAAGUCCAGCCCUUGCAUUGUCUAUUCUGCUGAUACCUGUAGUUUUAUUCCUUCGGUAUAUAAAGAAUUAAUUAGAACUGUUUUAAUGAAUAAUUUUUAAGAAGAAUUAAGAAUUAAACUAAAUUUAACGCACGCG